GUACACUCCUACGGGAGGCAGCAGUGGGGAAUUUUGGACAAUGGGCGAAAGCCUGAUCCAGCAAUGCCGCGUGCAGGAUGAAGGCCUUCGGGUUGUAAACUGCUUUUGUACGGAACGAAAAAGCUCCUUCUAAUACAGGGGGCCCAUGACGGUACCGUAAGAAUAAGCACCGGCUAACUACGUGCCAGCAGCCGCGGUAAUACGUAGGGUGCGAGCGUUAAUCGGAAUUACUGGGCGUAAAGCGUGCGCAGGCGGUUAUGUAAGACAGAUGUGAAAUCCCCGGGCUCAACCUGGGAACUGCAUUUGUGACUGCAUGGCUAGAGUACGGUAGAGGGGGAUGGAAUUCCGCGUGUAGCAGUGAAAUGCGUAGAUAUGCGGAGGAACACCGAUGGCGAAGGCAAUCCCCUGGACCUGUACUGACGCUCAUGCACGAAAGCGUGGGGAGCAAACAGGAUUAGAUACCCCAGUAGUCCCAUG
Molecule: ribosomal RNA, 477 nt
Filed under: uncultured organism
Description: partial 16S ribosomal RNA
Rfam family: Bacterial small subunit ribosomal RNA
Source: RNAcentral